This 507-nucleotide long non-coding RNA is filed under the name Anas platyrhynchos platyrhynchos (common mallard). Its description in RNAcentral is "lncRNA (ENSAPLG00000028725.1)". Lineage: Eukaryota; Metazoa; Chordata; Aves; Anseriformes; Anatidae. The record is from RNAcentral.
CAUUUAUUUGUUUGCCUUCAACAGCAAAGAUUUUCUUGUAACAGAGAAAAGAGGAAAUAAUGAGAAGAGAAGGCUAAAUAUAAACCUAAAUACUGAUGUAUCUAUAUGUUGCUUGCAGUGAAGAUAUGGGGAAACAUCUCCUUGUGAAUUUGCUCUGUGAUCAUGCUGGUGAUCACUUGCCUCAGAUCUCUGCUGCUCUCUGUACACAGCUCUUUAGGGCUGUGUGGUUUAGAUUCAAAGCAUUGCUCCCUCGCCAUGCGGGCAUGCGAAAUGAAACUCCACAUCCUUAUAGCAUCCACAGCUCAUGUCCCUGACUCAGAGCCACUUCGGACUGAAAGAAAAUUAAGAAGUUUGAGGAGACGCAGGAAGACAGCCUUUGCUUCACUACCUGCAACUCUGCUGGUGCAGCGGUGUUCAGCAGCCCUGGGGAGCUGCAAAGGGAAAAGUCAUUCAUCUAGUUCUGAUCACAGGAGAAGCAGGAUGUUCUUGUGUGACCAAGAGGUAUAG